Molecule: ribosomal RNA, 492 nt
Filed under: uncultured bacterium
Lineage: Bacteria
Description: partial 16S ribosomal RNA
Rfam family: Bacterial small subunit ribosomal RNA
Source: RNAcentral
AGUGAACGCUGGCGGUAGGCCUAACACAUGCAAGUCGAACGGCAGCACAGUAAGAGCUUGCUCUUACGGGUGGCGAGUGGCGGACGGGUGAGGAAUACAUCGGAAUCUACUUUUUCGUGGGGGAUAACGUAGGGAAACUUACGCUAAUACCGCAUACGACCUACGGGUGAAAGCAGGGGAUCUUCGGACCUUGCGCGAUUGAAUGAGCCGAUGUCGGAUUAGCUAGUUGGCGGGGUAAAGGCCCACCAAGGCGACGAUCCGUAGCUGGUCUGAGAGGAUGAUCAGCCACACUGGAACUGAGACACGGUCCAGACUCCUACGGGAGGCAGCAGUGGGGAAUAUUGGACAAUGGGCGCAAGCCUGAUCCAGCCAUACCGCGUGGGUGAAGAAGGCCUUCGGGUUGUAAAGCCCUUUUGUUGGGAAAGAAAAGCAGCAGGUUAAUACCCCGCUGUUCUGACGGUACCCAAAGAAUACGCACCGGCUAACUUCGUG